This 522-nucleotide ribosomal RNA is filed under the name Trigonopterus matalibaruensis. RNAcentral's name for it is "partial large subunit ribosomal RNA". Lineage: Eukaryota; Metazoa; Arthropoda; Insecta; Coleoptera; Curculionidae. The record is from RNAcentral.
GAUUUUAAGUYUGGCCUGCCCACUGAAUUGUUAAAUGGCCGCGGUAUAUUGACCGUGCAAAGGUAGCAUAGUCAGUAGUUUUUUAAUUGGAAGCUUGUAUGAAAGGUUCGAUGAGGGAAAGACUGUCUCUGUAAGAUUUUGUUAGAAUUUUAUUUUUAAGUUAAAAAGCUUAAAUGUUGAUGGAAGACGAGAAGACCCUAUAGAGUUUUAUAGGCUUGAGUAAAUUUAAUUUUUGGAAUUUUAAUUUAGAUUUACUUUAGUUUAUUUUGUUGGGGUGAUAGGAAAAUUUAUAAAACUUUUCUUUAAUUUUAUAUUGAUUAAUAGUUUGUUGAUCCUUGUUUAAAGAUAAAAAGAUUAAAUUACCUUAGGGAUAACAGCGUUAUUUUUUUUAGAGUUCUUAUCGAAAAAAAAGAUUGCRACCUCGAUGUUGGAUUAAAAUAAAUUAUUGGUGAARAGGCUAAUAGGUUAGGUCUGUUCGACCUUUAAAAUUUUACAUGAUCUGAGUUUAAACCGGUGUAAGCC